Molecule: ribosomal RNA, 422 nt
Filed under: Babesia canis canis
Lineage: Eukaryota; Apicomplexa; Aconoidasida; Piroplasmida; Babesiidae
Description: bacterial SSU rRNA
Rfam family: Eukaryotic small subunit ribosomal RNA
Source: RNAcentral
UUUCUUUAUCCCUCGACAGUNGCAGGUGGGAUCUGUUUCUCGUCUCAGCUGGCACACUGGCCAGGGCGUACGAUGCUCCCAAUGCCCCGGCGGCAUGGGUAGCCGUCUCUCACGCUCGCAAGGAAAAGUCUGGUGCCAGCAGCCGCGGUAAUUCCAGCUCCAAUAGCGUAUAUUAAACUUGUUGCAGUUAAAAAGCUCGUAGUUGUAUUUUUGCGUUAGCGGUUUGACCAUUUGGUUGGUUAUUUCGUUUUCGCUUUUGGGAAUUUCCCUUUUUACUUUGAGAAAAUUAGAGUGUUUCAAGCAGACUUUUGUCUUGAAUACUUCAGCAUGGAAUAAUAGAGUAGGACUUUGGUUCUAUUUUGUUGGUUAUUGAACCUUAGUAAUGGUUAAUAGGAACGGUUGGGGGCAUUUCGUAUUUAAAA